GGACAGUGACAAAAAUAGUUAAAUCUGAGCAUCAGAAUACCUUUCUAAUCUAGCAAAUGCAUGAUAUCUGUAGUCCUGAGA
Small nucleolar RNA from Pteropus vampyrus (large flying fox), 81 nucleotides. NCBI's taxonomy places the organism in Eukaryota, Metazoa, Chordata, Mammalia, Chiroptera, Pteropodidae. The record is from Ensembl.